GAUGAACGCUGGCGGCGUGCCUAAUACAUGCAAGUCGAGCGAACAGACGAGGAGCUUGCUCCUCUGACGUUAGCGGCGGACGGGUGAGUAACACGUGGAUAACCCACCUAUAAGACUGGGAUAACUUCGGGAAACCGGAGCUAAUACCGGAUAAUAUAUUGAACCGCAUGGUUCAAUAGUGAAAGACGGCUUUGCUGUCUCUUAUAGAUGGAUCCGCGCCGCAUUAGCUAGUUGGUAAGGUAACGGCUUACUAAGGCAACGAUGCGUAGCCGACCUGAGAGGGUGAUCGGCCACACUGGAGCUGAGACACGGUCCAGACUCCUACGAGAGGCAGCAGUAGGGAAUCUUCCGCAAUGGGCGAAAGCCUGACGGAGCGACGGCGCGUGAGUGAUGAAGGUCUUCGGAUCGUAAUACUCUGUUAUUAGUGAAGAACAAAUGUGUAAGUAACUAUGCACGUCUUGACGGUACCUAGUCAGAAAGCCACGGCUAACUACGUG
Molecule: ribosomal RNA, 497 nt
Filed under: uncultured bacterium
Lineage: Bacteria
Description: partial 16S ribosomal RNA
Rfam family: Bacterial small subunit ribosomal RNA
Source: RNAcentral